RNAcentral lists this small RNA (66 nucleotides) under Bacillus sp. FJAT-27986. RNAcentral describes it as "Bacillaceae-1 RNA". It matches the Rfam family "Bacillaceae-1 RNA". The record is from Rfam by way of RNAcentral. Lineage: Bacteria; Bacillati; Bacillota; Bacilli; Caryophanales; Bacillaceae.
UUUCAAGGAACAACGGCUAAGAACGCACUUCAUGUGGCAACAUCUUUGUGACCUACAUCCUGUAGG